AAUUUCAGGGAAUGGUAAUGUGUCACUGAUUACAAAGGAAGAUGAAAGAUCAUCAAUAGUUUCAUGACAACAUGCAUGGCAAAUUAAUGAAUCCCAAACGGUAAGAACGUCUCGGGACCCGAACCAACUAUCCUACCAAGUCAAAAUCACGUUCCGGACCUAACGGAAGGACGCGCUUACCCAAAAGUCAACUAUUGGUUAAAGUUUCCUCAAACUCACAACUUAAGAACGUGUCAGCAUUUUGGCGGUUCUUUUCCAACAUUCAACAAUCUCAAACGGCUUAAGUUGAGACUCAAUUACGUGAAGGAUGUUUCUCUACUUACAAUUACUCCAGUUCCAGAGGCAGCUCCACACCUGCAAAAAUUUACAAUCGAGCUUCAUAGGGAUUUUAAGCAUGUCCGAGAAGGAAGCAUUUGUAGGAAGACUGUGAAAUUCCCACUUCAACAUCUCACAGAAGUUCGAUAUAGAGGUUAUUUAGGAGAUAUAAAUGAUGUGGAACUUGCAACUUAUGUUUUUGAAAAUACUUUAACACUUGAGAAAUUCAUUGUUGAUCCUCCCGAGAAGUUCAAAGAUAUAAGAGAAAUUUGUGAAGAGACUCAAAGAGCAAGAGAUCUAGCUAUGCUGCAGCUUCAACCAAAGGUUCCCAAAGGAGUCAAGCUGGUAAUCAUUUAGGAGGCGUUUGAACAUGCGAUUUGAAACUAUGGUUUGAAACCAUAAGAUUAAAUCAGUAUUUGGACAUGCGAUUUCAUCUCAUGAUUUCAUAUCUUGAGAUGAAAUCCCAAAUUAUCUAAAAAGUAAUGAUAUGGGAUUUCAAACAUGUCCUAACGGCAAUUACCCUUUGACAACAGGCUACAAAUGUCAAUUCAGCUUACUGCAGGCUACUGAUGUCAUGUCUCUUCAGUACUGUCCCCUUCUAGGCAAUUCGUAUUAUCUUGAUUUCAUCUUUACUGGCUUCUUCCAAAGUCUUUCUUAAAACAUUUCUUUAGCUUUUAAAUUUUACAUUCAAACUAUCGGCUAUGUUAUGCUUGUGGAUAGGGGUGGUCGUUCGGAUCGUGGGAUUGAUUUGAGAAUUUCGAUUUGGAUUUUUGGUUUUUGGAUUGAAGAAAUUACAAUCCAAUUCCAAUCCAAAUAAGUUUG
Molecule: long non-coding RNA, 1137 nt
Organism: Lycium ferocissimum
Lineage: Eukaryota; Viridiplantae; Streptophyta; Magnoliopsida; Solanales; Solanaceae
Exons: 3
Source: RefSeq, a predicted model, not a curated record